RNAcentral lists this ribosomal RNA (460 nucleotides) under uncultured bacterium. RNAcentral's name for it is "partial 16S ribosomal RNA". It matches the Rfam family "Bacterial small subunit ribosomal RNA", at positions 338 to 795 of the family's 1533-position model. The record is from RNAcentral.
CCUACGGGCGGCAGCAGUGAGGAAUAUUGGUCAAUGGACGAGAGUCUGAACCAGCCAAGUAGCGUGAAGGAUGACUGCCCUAUGGGUUGUAAACUUCUUUUAUAUGGGAAUAAUAUGUUGCACGUGUGGGAUUUUGUAUGUACCCUAUGAAUAAGGAUCGGCUAACUCCGUGCCAGCAGCCGCGGUAAUACGGAGGAUCCGAGCGUUAUCCGGAUUUCUUGGGUUUAAAGGGAGCGUUGGUGGGUUGUUAAGUCAGUUGUGAAAGUUUGCGGCUCAACCGUAAAAUUGCAGUUGGAACUGGCAGUCUUGAGUGCAGGAGAGGUAGGCGGAAUUCGUGGUGUAGCGGUGAAAUGCUUAGAUAUCACGAAGAACUCCGAUUGCGAAGGCAGCUCACUGGACUGCAACUGACGCUGAGGCUCGAAAGUGUGGGUAUCGAACAGGAUUAGAUACCCCGGUAGUC